UAGUCAUAUGCUUGUCUCAAAGAUUAAGCCAUGCAUGUCUAAGUAAAAGCAACUUUUACCGUGAAACUGCGAAUGGCUCAUUAUAUCAGUACUAAUUUAUUUGAUAGUCCCUUACUACUUGGAUAACCGUAGUAAUUCUAGAGCUAAUACAUGCACUACAGUCCCUGACGCUUGCGGAGGGGAUGUAUUUAUUAGAUCGAAGCCAAUGCGGUGCUUGCACCGGUAUUGUGGUGAGUCAUGAUAAGUUUGCGAAUCGCAUGCCUUCUGGGCGGCGAUGUUUCAUUCAAGUUUCUGCCCUAUCAGCUUUGGAUGGUAGGGUAUUGGCCUACCAUGGCUUUAACGGGUAACGGAGAAUUGGGGUUCGAUUCCGGAGAGGGAGCCUGAGAGAUGGCUACCACAUCCAAGGAAGGCAGCAGGCGCGUAAAUUACCCAAUCCUGACUCAGGGAGGUAGUGACAAUAAAUAACAAUGCCGGGCUUUUCAAGUCUGGCAAUUGGAAUGAGAACAAUUUAAAUCCCUUAUCGAGGAUCAAUUGGAGGGCAAGUCUGGUGCCAGCAGCCGCGGUAAUUCCAGCUCCAAUAGCGUAUAUUAAAGUUGUUGCAGUUAAAAAGCUCGUAGUUGGAUUUCUGGGGCGUCGGAUGGGCCCUCGCCUCACGGCGUGUGUGUCCCGACUCUGAAUGCCCCAUCCUCGGGUGGGUCCCUCUUGGCAUUAGGUUGUUGGGGGGGGGAAGCCCGUCGUUUACUGUGAAAAAAUUAGAGUGUUCAAAGCAGGCUUAGGCCGUUGGAUACAUUACCAUGGAAUAAUGAGAUAGGGCCUUGAUGUUUUAUUUUGUGGGUUUGCACGCCAAGGUAAUGAUUAAUAGGAUAGUUGGGGGUAUUCGUAUUCAAUUGUCAGAGCUGAAAUGCUGGCAUUNAUGGCAGACGANCUACUGCGAAAG
Molecule: ribosomal RNA, 937 nt
Filed under: Heterococcus sp. W0972
Lineage: Eukaryota; Xanthophyceae; Tribonematales; Heteropediaceae
Description: SSU rRNA
Rfam family: Eukaryotic small subunit ribosomal RNA
Source: RNAcentral